GACAGAGGGUGCAAACGUUGUUCGGAAUUACUGGGCGUAAAGCGCGUGUAGGCUGCUCAGAAAGUCGGAUGUGAAAGCCCUGGCUUAACCUAGGAAGUGCGCCCGAAACUGCAGAGCUCGAGUGCCAGAGAGGGUGGCGGAAUUCCCAAGUAGAGGUGAAAAUUCGUAGAUAUGGGGAGGAACACCAGUGGCGAAGGCGGCCACCUGGAUGGUGACUGACGCUGAGUACGCGAAAGCGUGGGAGCAACAGGGAUUAAGAU
This 260-nucleotide ribosomal RNA is filed under the name uncultured bacterium. RNAcentral describes it as "partial 16S ribosomal RNA". It matches the Rfam family "Bacterial small subunit ribosomal RNA", at positions 524 to 783 of the family's 1533-position model. The record is from RNAcentral.